ACGGCAGUGGUCCAGCGGUAAGACCCGACCCUCCCAAGGUCGUGACCCGGGUUCGAAUCCCGGCUGCCGUA
Molecule: transfer RNA, 71 nt
Filed under: Candidatus Woesearchaeota archaeon
Lineage: Archaea; Nanobdellati; Candidatus Woesearchaeota
Description: tRNA-Gly
Rfam family: tRNA
About the family: Transfer RNA (tRNA) molecules are approximately 80 nucleotides in length. Their secondary structure includes four short double-helical elements and three loops (D, anti-codon, and T loops).
Source: RNAcentral